GGUUGGGAAAGUCUUGUCCGAUGCUGGGGUGGUGUAAGAAGUGCUUGCUCGCCAGAGCUUUCGGGAGUUCAGGCUGCACUGUCCAUACACAGGGACUCCUCCCUCAUCUCCAUUUAUCGUUCUUUCAGCGAGGCCAGGAUGACGGCCACAGGGGAGAUGUGUGCCCUUGAACUUCCCCGAGCGAGUAGUCAGUCACCUUUCAGAUAAAGCCAGACGAUGACAGACUGGCUCUGUUUGUAGAAGAAUUUGGUUAAGGGGAUGAAAAUGAAGGGUGAUAGAAGAAACUAAUACGCACACAGUUACUCUUUUUAACAGCUCCAGGGAACAGGAAUUUCCAGAUCUGCCAUUCGUUGGCAACUGUUCCCCAACCUUUGUCAUUGGGAAACACCUUUAUGAAUGUAGGAUUGGGGUCAGCCUUCAUGCCUACUGCCCUUGUUGUAUCUGAGAGUAGCAUGACCUCUUUAUGUGUAAAUUCAUACCAUAACAUCCCCCACCACCAGGUUUUGAGUUCUUACCCUCUCCCCAGUAGUGUCAGACACUGGGUGUAUGUUAUCAAUACAGAUGUGUUAAGCAGUGGGUCUUCAACUUACAGAUAAGGAAGGUCAAGGUUUAUCCCGGGUCACGGAGGGAGUACAUGGCAGAGGUUAUACUGAUAUACCUAAUUCUACGUCGUAUAUAGUCAACAUGUAUUCCUGAACA
Perognathus longimembris pacificus (Pacific pocket mouse) is the source of this 699-nucleotide long non-coding RNA. RefSeq lists it as uncharacterized. The record is from RefSeq and is a predicted model, not a curated record. The transcript is spliced from 3 exons. Lineage: Eukaryota; Metazoa; Chordata; Mammalia; Rodentia; Heteromyidae.